AUGCUGGAGAACUCGAACAGUAAUGGACAGGACUUCAUAAAUGAAGUUGCAACCAUUGGUAGAAUCCACCAUGCCAAUGUGGUUCACCUUUUGGGGUUUUGCUCCGAAGGAACAAGGCGUGCUCUUAUUUACGAAUUCAUGCCUAAUGAAUCACUUGAGGAAUAUAUAUUCGCACAUGAAUCUGAUAUUUGCCGAGAACUAUUAACACCUAACAAAAUGCUUGAAAUAGCAUCGAGCAUUGCACGAGGAAUGGAGUACCUGCAUCAGGGGUGCAAUCAGCGCAUCCUCCAUUUUGGCAUCAGGGGUGCAAUCAGCGCAUCCUCCAUUUUGACAUCAAGCCUCACAACAUCUUGCUAG
This 357-nucleotide ribosomal RNA is filed under the name Triticum aestivum (bread wheat). RNAcentral describes it as "partial small subunit ribosomal RNA". The record is from RNAcentral. Lineage: Eukaryota; Viridiplantae; Streptophyta; Magnoliopsida; Poales; Poaceae.